Molecule: ribosomal RNA, 431 nt
Filed under: uncultured bacterium
Lineage: Bacteria
Description: bacterial SSU rRNA
Rfam family: Bacterial small subunit ribosomal RNA
Source: RNAcentral
AGCGAACGCUGGCGGCAGGCCUAACACAUGCAAGUCGAACGGAUCCUUCGGGAUUAGUGGCAGACGGGUGAGUAACACGUGGGAACGUGCCUUUUGGUUCGGAACAACUCAGGGAAACUUGAGCUAAUACCGGAUGUGCCCUUCGGGGGAAAGGAUUUAUCGCCAUUAGAGCGGCCCGCGUCUGAUUAGCUAGUUGGUGAGGUAAAGGCUCACCAAGGCUUCGAUCAGUAGCUGGCUGAGAGGAUGAUCAGCCACACUGGGACUGAGACACGGCCCAGACUCCUACGGGAGGCAGCAGUGGGGAAUCUUGCGCAAUGGGCGAAAGCCUGACGCAGCCAUGCCGCGUGAAUGAUGAAGGUCUUAGGAUUAGUAAAAUUCUUUCAGCGGGGACGAUAAUGACGGUACCCGCAGAAGAACGCCCCGGCUAACUU